Molecule: long non-coding RNA, 4415 nt
Filed under: Homo sapiens (human)
Lineage: Eukaryota; Metazoa; Chordata; Mammalia; Primates; Hominidae
Description: non-protein coding INKA2-AS1:15
Source: RNAcentral
AGUGUUUGCACAGGACCCGGGCGCAGCCACUGGGGCUGGCGAGGACACACCUGGUCCCGGCCAGCGCGGCGGAGGGCAUCGUGACUCCAGGCUGUACCGCGGCCCCCAACGAAGCACGUGACCCUCGUGUGGUCAUAAAGGGAGAGCACAGUUUUACGGGGAGGGACUGGGUAGCGGUCUCAGUAACAGGCAGAGUGCCAUAGUGUCAGUCCCUUUUCCCAAACUCCGAUCAGGAAGGGAAACACCCCCACCCACUCCGCUCCCAUCCCCAGAAGUCCCUCAGAAGCUCUUUUCUCCCCGAAGAGGACCCUGGGAAGGUGGCUCCCGCCUCACUCCUAGAGUGAAAUCCUCGCAGCCCUGCCCUCGCGGGCGGAGCAGAGACGCCGCCGCUUGGCCGGUUCACGCCUGUCACACAAAGCCGCCGAGGGUCGGCUGCGCCCCUGGCAAGGCUGUAGGGCUGGGGAUACUGAGUAUGACAGGCGAGGUCCCUGCUCUCAAGAACUUACAUGGGAGAGAAGGGGAGACAAGAUAAACAGGAGCCAGAGAAUUCUCGUAGCUGUGAUUAGACAUCAACCUUGGGCAUGCUAAACAUUUCAGCCUGGACACCCUGAGAAGAGCCAGUGCCACUGGUGACAGCUGCUUCUGUGCGGGCUUUUGCUUGGCCAGAGAGGCAGGACCUUCUCCCUGGCAUUUUGAGGAGUGGUGCCGGGUGGGCAGUGACUGCACUAGCAACAGUCUAUACCAAGAGAAGACCUCAAAUUCCCAGAGAAGAAAGGCAGCGAGGCCAAGAAAUGCUGCCGCCGCUUAACAAGUGAAGAUGCAUACUGGAGAAUAGGAACUGAACACGCGAAGGAGUUUCGGCUUUACUGCCUUCUCUCCUAGCAUUGAACAGAUCUUCUCUGCUGUUGAUUAUUCUCCAUGAAUCAUCAUCCAUAGAAAGUGACUGAGGCAAUAGAGAGUGAAUAAUGAAUCUCUCAAAUAGUCUUUUGUGUUUCUGCCUGGAGGGUUUUGGAAAUAACUUGCAUCUUAAUCUUUCUGACUUAGAAUCAUAGAAUUUGGGAGCUGAAAAGGACCUUCAUCAGGGCAUGUGGCCUCACAGAAAGACUGGAAGAAAAGAUUUGUGGGUAUGAGCCUCUGGUUCAUCACUAAAAAUAGGCCUAGUCUAACAUAUAUUGGAGGCUUUCCUUGUGUCAGGUACUCAUUUAUUCUUCCAAAACCUUGGGAGGUAGGUGCUGCUAUUCCUCCAUUCUGCAGAGGAGGAAGAGAUGAGGAGACAGUAGAUCACCAGAGGGCAGUGUGAGGGGUGUGCUGGAACCAUCAUGUGGAACUGGCUCUGGUUCCAGAAUCCACAUCCUCUCGGUCAUUCCACUCCCACAUCAAGUGGCUUUGGACAAGUAAUUUAACUUCUUUGGAUCUCAGUUUUCUCCUCCGUGAUCUCUAAAGUUUAAAAAUUACUAACAGUCUGCAUCUGCCACCCAAGCAUGUGAUUUUACAAGUCAGAAAAGUGUAGCGCAGAAAUGUUAAGUGACCUGCCCUAGGUCACCCAGGUUGCUAAGGGCAGAAUCAGCACAGAAACCCAGGCCCAGUGACCACUGCCCCCAGGCAAGACCUCCUUCCCUUCCACUGCACUUUGGCAGGUGUUCUAGGGGAAUCCAACUCCUUGCCUUAGAGGAGACCUGUUCAAUGAUAUCAGAUAGACUGGAGAUGUUACGUUUUGGUGUGGCCAAUCACAACACCAGGAUGAGCUUAGGAGGCUGGUGAUAUUUGUCUAUCUAAGCACCCCCAACCUAUCUAUCUGUCUGCUGUUUGUCUAUCUUUCUCAGGUUAUGCAUAGUGACCAAACCCCGCCUGGUAACUGUAGGGAAAGAGCAUGACUGGUGUGUUACAGCUACACACGCCCCCUGGUGGUAUUUCCAGUUGUUUGUCCUCUUCAUGCAAAUGUUGCCACCUUGUGCCAGCUCUCUCACCUAGCUUCCUUCAUGACGACAGUGGUUGCAAUUCUGCUCCUCUCUCUGCCUUCCCCUGUCCUUGGCUCCCCAUGUCCAGAAUCUGAUCAUUUACUGGUGUGCACCCUGGGAUGUGAUGUGUGCUUUGGGAGGAGACAGGACCCAACAGUAUCUCAGCUGUGCUCUGGUAAUCAGUGUGCACCACAUUACAAGCAUCCUCAUCCCAGUAUCCUCCCUAUUGAAAAAGAAAUGGGAAAGGGGUGGAUGUGUCAAUAAACACAACAUUGAAGGCAUCUGAAAUAGAACAAGGACAUCCUGGGUGAGGCAUUAUUCACAAUGUGUAUCCAUAUAUGUGUGUGAGUGUGUGUGUGUGUGUGUGGUUCAGACAGUCUGAAAUGAGCUCUCACCCACUGGUGAGUGGAAAAUUAGCUUUGGCAGGUGAAGAACUGGGUGACAGGUGAGGAAGCCACCAGGGUAUCAGUGUUAUCCUUCUACUAUUGCUGUUUCUGGUGUUGCUAACAAUAUCUCUCCCACCUCUCCCUGUUCCAUGAAAUGUAAUUAGGUAGAGUAGAAAUGACUUGGAAGGGCUUGGGCACGUGGGAGAGUAAUAUGAAGAUGUUACAAUGGCCUUGUGACCUUGUAAGUGAGCCAUGUGCUUGCAGGUGGGCUGCGCUAGGCUAGUUGCGAAUUAGCAUUUUCCUGACGGCCCAUGAAGCAAGCUGUGUGGUUUUCAUUUCUAGUGGGUGGAAGAAAAGAUGGCACUCCAGGGACUAAGUCCUAGGAAAUUCUGCCAUCUGGCAUAAUGUUGGAGGCAGUGUGUGCCAGGGCAGGAAAUAUGGGUUCUUGGGCUGGCUCUAGAUUGGCCCUGUAAUCUCUAAUGCCUCAGUUUCUCUAACUGUAAAGUGGGACAGAUAAUCCCACUGCUACCUUCUUGUGAAGGUAAAGUAUGCAAAGGCCCUUUGAAAUGUCGAGAGCACGGUUCUAAAUGUGGCUUGCCUGCCAAAGGAAUUUGCCAGGCCUACUGGGAGGCAGCAGUUUGCUUCUGUGUCAGUUUCUACAGUCUGUGCUCAGACAGGUACUUAAGCAUCUCACAUCCAUAAAUCUCACCUCCUAUCUAUAGUCAGCAAAUAAGAAAAAGGGCAGGCUGAUGCUCUGCUUCUGUCUGAUCUUCUUACCAAUCCUACCCUUGCCUCCCCUCCCCCUGACCUGAUGCGAUGAUCUUGCUGCUCUCCCUCAUCUGUUCUGGGCCUGUCAGUUUAAUUUAACAAGGUUCUGGGAGAGGUUUGAUUUAAUCAACCCAGUUGCUGUAUCCAUCCUGCUCAGAGGUCCCUCAGUGUCACCACCGAGGCUCAGAUUAGACAGUGACAAUUACUUCUUCUUUCCUGGCUAUUGCCUCCCCCUUCCCUUUCACUCCCUGGAGGGAACAAGGAGGCAGACCAAUCUCUUGGGACCUAAGAAUAGAUGCGGGAGGAUCAAAGGAGGGAAACAGGCUCUGGCCUGAGAAAGCCCCUCUCCAUACCUUACAUGGCCUUGUUUAAGGCUGAGUAACAGCCCAAAGGGUGGAGGGAAUAGAAAAUGUGAGCGAAGCUGCCUUGCAAAGGCUCAAGGCUGCCUGAGGACAGAGCUGUGCCAUCACUGAUGGCCCCACAGAGAUAAAACCAGUCUCCCUUAUUGUCAGGAAACUGGGGUGGAGGGUGGGUAGAGAAGUAAGAUAGCUGCAUGCUCUAUGUACUCCAGACCACGAGCAUUUAUUUCCAGGUUCUCGGCCUGGAUUCUGGGGUCUCCGGAGCUGGGAGACAACCACAACAACAGGAAGGCGAGGCCCCAUCCAUCUGAGCUUCUGUGGCUCUGUUCUUGGUGUGGAAGCUGCAGUGACAAGAGGAGAUGCCACCUGAGCCAGGGGUUCAGGGGCAGCUGUGUGGGUGUGAGGUAACUAUGCUGUGUGUGUUGGGGUGUGUGUGUGUGUGUGUGUGUGUGCGCGCGCGCGCGUGCUAGGGAGCCAAGGCAGGGGAGUCUCUGGUGCAGACAGUUCAAAAUUCCAGAACAAAUCUCUUUUGUUGUCAUUUAACCCUUUCAUUUCCCUCUCUUUUCAGGAAGUGGGUGCUCAGCACCUCUUGUUCUCCUAAUCAGCUCAGAGAAGAGACAAAGGCCUCUUCAAGGGAAGCCCUUACUUAGGGUGAUAGAAAUUCUUUUUCUUUUUGCUCCUUUGUGUCACAUUCUUCCAUCGGUCAGCAGGCAACUGACAGGUGUACCCCUCCCUGAGCCCCAUUCAGAGUUCCCCUCCCUGCCAUUUGUCUCUCACCCAGAUAUCCAGCAGACACCACCAUCCACAGGAGCUGAAUAUGAUUAGCAGAAACCCUUCCUGACAGCUCCAAAGAGGAUCCCUCAAAUGCAUAUUCUAUUGAGUGCAUCUCAUUGCUGCUGACAGCCGCUUUAUCAAUUAAAUUCCACAUUCCGUCUUCAGAGAUG